AAUAAAUGUAAAAUUUAAAACUAAAUGAUUAAUAGUUAUGUUCUUUAAAGUUAAAUAAUUUGGCGGUAUUUUAGUCUUUUCAGAGGAACCUGUUCUAUAAAUGAUAGUCCACGAUAAUUGGGUCUUAAGUUAGAAAUUUAUAUAUCAUCGUUAUUAAAUAUUUUUUUAGAAUUUAAUAUUUAAAAAAUAUAAUUAUAUUUUAAUUCAGAUCAUGGUAUAGUUUAUAUUUAAGUUGAAAUGGGUUACAAUAUUUAAAAAUUUGGAUUUUAAAUUUAAAAUUUAAAUGAAAUUGGAUUUGAAAGUAAUUAUUUUUAUUAAAUUAUAAUGAUUAAGCUCUAAAAUAUGU
This 346-nucleotide ribosomal RNA is filed under the name Scymnus inderihensis. RNAcentral describes it as "partial small subunit ribosomal RNA". The record is from RNAcentral. Lineage: Eukaryota; Metazoa; Arthropoda; Insecta; Coleoptera; Coccinellidae.